RNAcentral lists this non-coding RNA (52 nucleotides) under Spodoptera frugiperda (fall armyworm). Lineage: Eukaryota; Metazoa; Arthropoda; Insecta; Lepidoptera; Noctuidae. The record is from RNAcentral.
GCUGCAUCCCGUGCGGCCGCAGUGUCACGUGUAGCACCAUGGGAUUCAGCUC